Molecule: long non-coding RNA, 207 nt
Organism: Cyprinus carpio (common carp)
Lineage: Eukaryota; Metazoa; Chordata; Actinopteri; Cypriniformes; Cyprinidae
Exons: 2
Source: RefSeq, a predicted model, not a curated record
CAUUAGAGUCAGCACGGUGGCUCUGACUGGUGACCAGGUGGCAACAGUCAGGUCAACGUUUCAGUGCCUUAUAUGCAGAGAUGUGAUGGAAAACCCAGUUGUGGCACCGUGCUGCCGCAGCCUCGUUGGAUGCCGGGUCUGCGUUGAGCAGUGGGCAACUACCUCGCCGCACUGCCCAAAAUGCAGGGACGAGAUGUUCCAAGAAAA